RNAcentral lists this unclassified non-coding RNA (345 nucleotides) under soil metagenome. RNAcentral's name for it is "partial contains 5.8S ribosomal RNA, internal transcribed spacer 2, and large subunit ribosomal RNA". The stretch from base 1 to 120 matches the Rfam family "5.8S ribosomal RNA", at positions 35 to 154 of the family's 154-position model. The record is from RNAcentral.
GAUGAAGAACGUAGCGAAAUGCGAUAAGUAAUGUGAAUUACAGAAUUCAGUGAAUCAUCGAGUCUUUGAACGCACAUUGCGCCCCCUGGUAUUCCGGGGGGCAUGCCUGUCCGAGCGUCAUUGCUGCCCUCAAGCACGGCUUGUGUGUUGGGCCUCCGUCCUCCUCCCGGGGGACGGGCCCGAAAGGCAGCGGCGGCACCGCGUCCGGUCCUCGAGCGUAUGGGGCUUCGUCACCCGCUCUUGUAGGCCCGGCCGGCGCUUGCCGACACAUCAAUCUUUUUUCCAGGUUGACCUCGGAUCAGGUAGGGAUACCCGCUGAACUUAAGCAUAUCAAUAAGCGGAGGA